This 442-nucleotide ribosomal RNA is filed under the name uncultured bacterium. Its description in RNAcentral is "partial 16S ribosomal RNA". It matches the Rfam family "Bacterial small subunit ribosomal RNA", at positions 338 to 795 of the family's 1533-position model. The record is from RNAcentral.
CCUAGGGUGGCACCAGUGGGGAAUAUUGGGCAAUGGGCGCAAGCCUGACCCAGCAACGCCGCGUGAGGGAAGAAUGUCUUCGGAUUGUAAACCUCUGUCCUUGGGGACGAAAAAAAUGACGGUACCCAAGGAGGAAGCUCCGGCUAACUACGUGCCAGCAGCCGCGGUAAUACGUAGGGAGCAAGCGUUGUCCGGAAUUAUUGGGCGGAAAGGGUGCGUAGGCGGCGCUGUAAGUCAGAUGUGAAAUCCCCGGGCUUAACUCGGGAGUUGCAUUUGAAACUACAGUGCUUGAGUAAAGAAGGGGUAAGUGGAAUUCCUAGUGUAGCGGUGGAAUGCGUAGAUAUUAGGAGGAACACCAGUGGCGAAGGCGACUUACUGGUCUUUUACUGACGCUGAGGCACGAAAGCGUGGGGAGCAAACAGGAUUAGAUACCCUUGUAGUC